Molecule: ribosomal RNA, 253 nt
Filed under: uncultured bacterium
Lineage: Bacteria
Description: partial 16S ribosomal RNA
Rfam family: Bacterial small subunit ribosomal RNA
Source: RNAcentral
UACGGAGGGGGCAAGCGUUGUUCGGAAUUACUGGGCGUAAAGGGCGCGUAGGCGGCUAGCUAAGUCCGACGUGAAAUCCCAAAGCUUAACUUUGGAACUGCGUCGGAUACUGGAUGGCUUGAAUUCGGGAGAGGGAUGCAGAAUUCCAGGUGUAGCGGUGAAAUGCGUAGAUAUCUGGAGGAAUACCGGUGGCGAAGGCGGCAUCCUGGACCAUUACUGACGCUGAGGCGCGAAAGCUAGGGGAGCAAACGGG